Long non-coding RNA from Vidua macroura (Pin-tailed whydah), 549 nucleotides. RefSeq lists it as uncharacterized. The record is from RefSeq and is a predicted model, not a curated record. The transcript is spliced from 3 exons. NCBI's taxonomy places the organism in Eukaryota, Metazoa, Chordata, Aves, Passeriformes, Viduidae.
GGACAGGUGCCGAAAGGAACAUGUCCUGUUCUCCUGUGACCUCCCAGACAAAGGGGCAGGGUUUGGGAAGGGGCAGGGGAACUCAGCAACUGAAUGUCUGGCUGUGCAGGUGGUGCUGAAGGUUUGGGAUCUGAGGAUCUACCCUGGAGCAGCUGGAUCUGCUGGGAGUUGAUAGCAUCCACCUGACCUCAUACCACGGGCCAAACCAGGGGGCCCUGCCAGGUAUUCCAGAGGGGCUGUGGGAGCUCUGGCUGGGCAGGACCAAGCGAGAGGCACCUCAGCUUAGGAGACACUGACAUCCCAAUGCCCUCACAGUAACUGAUAGAGACAUCCUUCACAUCCUGGCAGAGGGAGCUCAAUGCUGUUUAUACUCUUACCCCUUUCACUGGGUUUGAUUAUGAGGAUUCGUGAUGGAAUUGUUGGAGAACGCCCCUGGCUGAGCUGAGUUUCCAGCAGCAGGUAGAGCUAAAACCCAGUGUUAAUAAAAAUCAAUGAAGCAUCCUCACAAGGCAAACAGUUUCCCUUUACAGCUCACAGCCUCCUCACGCU